CAUCUCUCCCCUACGGAAGCCACCAGAGCACAGAACCUCACCAUGGACUGGACGUGGAGGAUUUUCCUGUUGGUGGCAACAGCUACAGGCGCCCACUCCCAGGUGCAGCUGGUGCAGUCUGGGGCUGAGGUGAAGAAGCCUGGGGCCUCAGUGAAGAUCUCCUGCAAGGCUUCUGGAUACACCUUCACCAGCUAUAGCAUGCAUUGGGUGCAACAGGCCCCUGGCCAAGGGCUCGAGUGGAUAGGAUAUAUCAACACCAACACUGGUGGCACAAACUACGCACAGAAGUUCCAGGGCAGAGUCACCAUGACCAGGGACACAUCCACGAGCACAGCCUACAUGGAGCUGAGCAGCCUGAAAUCUGAAGACACAGCCGUGUAUUACUGUGCAAGAGACACAGUGUGA
This is a non-coding RNA of Saimiri boliviensis boliviensis (Bolivian squirrel monkey), 405 nucleotides long. The record is from the annotation of a RefSeq genome assembly. Lineage: Eukaryota; Metazoa; Chordata; Mammalia; Primates; Cebidae.